AGCCAGCAAGGGGGGUGGGGACAUGGGGUACCCGGGCAGAUGAACAGAGAGAGGCUGCCAGACUGACUUGGUGGCACCUGCAAGGAGACCAGGGCUGUGGAUCUGGGGGAGGGUGUAGCAGACACGUUCCAGCCUGAAGAUGUUUUUUAGAUUUAUUUAUUUUGCUUGAAAGGCAACGAGAGAGAAAGAGGGAGAAAAUGAGAUUUUCCAUCUACUAGUUCAUUUCCCAAAUGGCUACAAUGGCCAGGACUGGGCCAUGUUGAAGCCAGGCACCCAGAACUCCAUCUGGGUCUCCCAUGUGGGUGGCAGGGGCCCAAGCACUUGGGCCAUCUCCUGCUGCCUUCCCAGGUGCAUUAGCAGGGAGCCGGCACCAGAACUGAAGAUUUUGGACACAGGGGAGUACCCGAGCUUCGGGUCUGUUGGUCUUUAGAGUGUCAGAAGGGAACCCCGUAGUUGUGGGGAGAAUUAGAAGGUCCGGAUGGUUUUGGGAUGAGACAGGAUGCAUGGCUUUCGGUGAGAAGGGACAUAGGUUUAGGGGUCUUGGGAGGGGCGGGUCCAGAGGUGUGGAUUUGGAGCUCUGGGGGCAAGGAAGGGCCCAGCACUGUGGAGUCCCCGGGAGGAGAGGGGAGAGAGCUCUAGAGUGAAGCUACUUUUUUUUUUUUUAUGAUUUAUUUUAUUUAUUUGAAAGAGUUACAGAGUGAGGCAGAAACAGAGGGGGGGGGUCUUCCAUCCGCUAGUCCACUCCCCAAAUGACCACACUGGCUGGAGCUGCACCAAUCCGAAGCCAAGGGGUUCUUCCGGGCCUCCCACCUGGGUGCAGGGGCCCAAGGACUUGGGCCACCUUCUACUGCUUUCCCAGGCCAUAGCAGAGAGCUGGAUCGGAAGUGGAGCAGCCGGGACUUGAACCAGUGCCCAAAUGAGAUGCCAGUGCUGCAGGCCGGGGCUUUAACCUGCUGUGCCACAGCACCAGCCCUUGGAGCUGCCUUUUGAUCUGUUCUCUACUGAUGCCCAGAAUCCUCCUCAGAGCCUCGCAGUGAGGCCAGGGCGCACGCCAUAGAAUCCCCACCACCCAUCUCUGGCUGGGAAAGGGUGGCUGAGCUGAGCCACAUUUUGGUGGAACUUGUCCCAGAACUGGAGAAGACUGACUCAUGGCCAUAGCUGGCAGAGGUGCCGGCCCACACAUCAGCAAACAGCAAAAACAACCACUCACAUGGCGGAAAAGUCCCAGCCGUCCUGAGGGUCAUAAUUAGCUGGUUUCCCACUCAGGGCUGGGCUCAUGGUGUCAUUGCUGUUGUCACUUUUUUAUUACCAGUGUCUCCUGCUUUCUGGCUUUUCCUGAGGACAGGAAAGAGAGAGAGGGCAGGGGGUGCCGUGAGUGCCCCUUAAGCCAAAGGCCUUGCACUCCGGGCGCUCCCACCCUGCGCCCCCAGUGUCCCCAUUCUGGGCUCUGCUUUCCCGACCUGUGGGAAGGGAGUUUAGGGGAAGCGACGGCCACAUCUCGUCCAGGGAUGACCUCUGGGUUUUUGAGAGGCUGCUGUGGGCAGGCAGAGGUCUGGGUGACCCCAGUGCUGGGAGCAGCGUGGACCUGGGCCACGAGGGUGGGAGUGGAGAGGGAUGAGUGGCCCUGCUGGCCUCCUCUCCUCACAGUUCCCCCUUGAUGAGGACAUGGCCAGAGCUUGCUGUGCUGCGGGAGGACAGGGUCCACGUGGGCAGGGUCUUACAGAAUCUUUGUAACAACAGGGCUGGAUCGGCGCCAUCCCCAUGGGGUGCCACAGGUGGCAAGGAGCUGGGUGAGGGGCGCUGUCUUGCCCCUUCUCCCUUCACGGACUGCCCAGUCCACCGUGGGGGUCAUGUGAGGACCAAGCUCAGCAGCAGCAGGGGACACAGCGUUAACGCUGGCCAUUGGGUCUCCCCAGGGAGGGGACUGGCGUUGGCACAUUGGCACUGGACUUGAUGCCAGGAGACUAUUGGUAGAGGCAAAGACCCUGGUGCCAAGGGGGCUCUGGGUGUGGGCUCGGGGCAGGGGGUGCCGGUCGGGAGGGCGUCAGGACGCGGUACCAUGUUGUAGCUCCACCCCAAGAGGGGCCCCUGGUGGGCCCAGGGCAGAUGCUGGGGUCAGGCUCCUCAGGUUGCAUCCUGCCCCAAGGCCCCUAACUUUGGACGAGUGGUGUUGGGUGAGGUUGGCACUCCCCAGCCUGGCAUCCUGUUCAAUGUGUUCUGAGAUCUGUGGGGAGGGCACAGGGGGCAGGGCACAAAGCAGGAAGAGGAAAGCUGUUGAUUCUGGAGGGAGAAGAGGUGGGGAAGGCGGAUUAGCGCGCGCAGGUAUCAGUCCCCUAAUCCUGGUCAGCAGCCUGCACCUGUGCUGGCUCCCAGCCUGGGUGCCUCCUUUUUCCCCUGGAGCCUCAGAAAGCAGGGAGGGGGGGACCCUGGGGAGUCUGUUUCUUAAUGAAGUUGGCACCAGGAAGGGAACCGAGUGUUCAAAUAGGCUGCUGGGAGCCGGCCAGGGAGGGGGCGGAGGUCUGGACGGGAGAACUUGGGGACAGUGAGGUCAAGAGGGUUUGGCCUUGUUGAUGAGCUCAGUGCCUGCAGUCACAUGGGAGGGACAGGUGCCGGUCUGCAGGUGACUGAGGGACCGGCUGCUGGUAUGGGGGACCCAGGAAAUCCUUUCCCCUCCUGGGGCCUCAGUUUCCCCUUCUGGAUGAAUGGGUAAGAGCAAGGUUCCCUGUUGCGACUCUGAGUAAGCCACUUCCCAUCCUAAUGACAGAGUGUUCCAGGGGCUUCGGAGAGGAGCGCGUGGGCGGAUGGGUGUGAGUGCUGUGCAGUUUGUUAGACACUGGCGGCCUGGAGGAGAAAGGGGAUGAGGUGGGCGCUUCCCAGAGCGCCCUUCUGGCUUUUGCAUUCUCCGCCCUCCAGGCGAGGGGGAAGGGAGAGGGGCUUGCAGGAACGUCUCUCCCCACACCUCCCUCGGCACCGCCAAGCCCUCCAGAGCUCUAGGCAGGCGCUGAGCAGUGAUCGUCUGGGCUUGGAGGUUGACGCUGGAUCAGGCACCACCUAGGAGGGUCCGUCAGUGCUGGGCCCUCAGGCUACUCUGAAGGAGCCUGGGACAUGGGACUUCCUCCUCGCCUCUGUCCACCGUGGCGAGUCAGCCCUGCUGCUCCAGCUCCCGCGUGCUCCUGGAGCUUGUGUGUGUGCUGUCUUCUCCCAGGUGCCCCUGCCGCAUUCCUCCUUAUCUGUGCAUCUGUCUGUGUGGGCUCUCCCAGGUGCGUGCAUGGCGUGUCCAUGUGUAUGUUUCGGUGUGUCCACGUUGGCAGGUGAAUUUGCUUAUGCACUAGUCUUCCCGGGGUGUGUGCUUGAACAUAAGUGGUCUCCAGGCCUGUUUGUGUCCACCGGUGCCCAUCGGAGUGCACAUGUCCAUGGUGGUGUCCCUGAAUUCCUGCCAGUCUCUGCAGCUGUCUGUCUGUCCAAGUGGGUAGCAUGAGGACACACGUGCUUUGGGAUUUGCCUGUCGGGGACCUGUCUCUGGCAUACGUCUCCGUGUCCAGCCUGAGGAGUAGCUGCACCCUCCCAUCUGUGUGUUCACAUGAGCCCGUGGGUGUUGUGUGUGUGUGUGUGUGUGUGUGCCCUGUUGUGUGCAUGUGAGCGUCUGAGACCUGCCUGUGCCUGUUCAGAUUCAAGCCCGGCCUGGCCCAGCUCCAUCUCUCAUCUUAGAAAAGCACACAGUUCCCUCUGUGUUUCAGAAGUUGACUUCCCUCAAGGUCACACUGAAUGGAAAAGGCCUCCAGGGGACAGGUGUGUCCUCAGGUUGGACACAUGGGAAUAUCCUCUCUCCCACGGUAUCGCUCCCAGCCUCUUAGUGUAUAAUCGACACGGCCAACAGCGCCAGUGGAGCAGUGCUGAGAGCGCCCGUGCAGGCCAGCCCUGUGCCGGGUGACACAGAGGUGACACCGAGCACCCACUCCCGGGGGAGGCGGGUUCAUCUGCAGACAGGGACACCAGGGGGACAGUGCUGAGGUGGGGUGGCCCCAGCUGAGCGGCCGGGCCUGCCGUGGGGAAGGGCAGGUGCUGCAGGAAUCCAGGACUGGCUCCUGACUGGGCUUCUGGGGUGCAGGGGAGGCCACUAGAGGGCAAGGCAGGGGUGCUCUCCGGAGAGGUGGGGUUCAGAGCUGGAGUUCCAGGUGGGGUGGGGGGAGCAGCCUGCACAGACUGCUGGGACUGUGUUCAGCCAGCUGUCACUGAUUUGGGGACCCAUGGCAGAACAGACUUAGGGUAGCAGAUGUGAGGUCUGGUUUGGACAGGUUAGAGAAGCAGGCCUGGUCACUGUUUUUUGGGAUUUCUUAGUCUAGUGGGAGAGCACACCCAGAUAAACUAAAGCCUCCAAUGGUACCAUUACUAUUUUAAAAAUUUUGGGAGGGCCUGCUCUGUGGCGUAGAGGGUAAGGCCGCCACCUGCAGUGCUGGCAUCCCAUGUGGGUCCCAGUUCAAGUCCUGGCUACUCCACUUCCAAUCCCGCUCUCUGCUGUGGCCUGGGAAAGCAGUAGAAUAUGGCCCAGUGCUUGGGGCCCUGCACCCACGUGGGAGACCCGGAAGAAGCUCCUGGCUCCUGCCUUCGGAUCAGCUCAGCUCCAGCCAUUACAGCCAUCUGGGGAGUGAACCAGCGGAUGGCAGAUAGCUCUCUCUCUUGCUCCCCUCUCCUCUCUCCUCUCUCUCUGCCUCUCUUUCCCUCUAAUUCUGACUUUCAAAUAAAUAAAUACUCUUUAAAAACGGGCUGAAAUUAAUAUCACCUAGAACGGCUUUAGAGCGCGCAGUUCAGGCACUUUAGGCACGCAGUGCUGCGCAUCCACCGCCUCGGACAUCUGAUUCCCAAACUCCUCCAGCCGGGCUCUCAGGGCGCCCCUGUGCGCAGGGCACACCCGCCCACCGCCCACCGCUCCUGGAGCUCUUCUCUCCCCGUGAGCAGCUUUCUGGGCGCCUGUUCUGCACCAGUCACUGUGGCAGCGGGGGUGGGGGUGGGGGGUGGGGAGGGCUGCUGUCUCCCUGUGCAAGGGAGGUAGGGGGGCCGGCAGGCUGGAGGAGCUUGGCUGGGGUCCCACGGCCAGCGAGGGGGCAGCGCCCACCCGGCUCCUCACCUGCACGGGCGCUCCUGCUUGCACCACCGCUCUGGGGUUCCGCGCACGCCCCGGCGGGACUCUGUCUCAGGACACUGUCACAACAAAGCUCUGUAAAGUCAACGAGACGGAGACUGCAGCCCCCACGAGAAACCGCGGCCAUGGCCUUCGCUCCUGGCUGCCCCCUCGCCGCCUGGCAGCUCCCGCGUGGCGGUGGCCGUGGCUGUCUGUGCUUUGGCGUCAGCGCGCACAAUGAGGCGGGGUUCGUCUCCGUCCUGCAGGUUUAGGAAAUGUUAGGACCACGCCCCGCUGGUCCAGUCCCGUGGGACAGCGCUGAUUCCCAGUGACCGGAAGCUUGGUCCACUUAUUAUUAUUAUUGUUAUUAUUAUUAUUUCCGUCAGAAUUGUGCAAGCUGAGCUGGUUCGAUCUCUGUGGUGUUUCUCUUGUUUGAAUUAGGACAGAGACAAAAUUCAUUUCUUCUUUCUUUGCAAAUUUCUGUGGGUUGUCUGCUGCUGUGUGGGUUAUGUCUUUAACAUCAUCUCGUUCUUUUUUAUUUUAAAGAUUUAUUUAUUUGAAAGGCGGAGUAAUCGGCCCGGUGCUGUGGCACAGUGGGUAAAGCUGCUGCCUGCAGUUCUGGCAUCCCAUAUGGACGCUGGUUCAAGUCCUGGCUGUUCCACUUCCAAUCCGGCUCUCUGCAGUGGCCUGGGAAAGCAGUGGAAGAUGGCCCAGGUGCUUGGGUCUUUGCACCCAUGUGGGAAAGCUGGAGGAAGCUCCUGGCUCCUGGCUUCAGAUUGGCUCAGCUCUGGCCGUUGUGGCCAUUUGAGGAGUGAACCAGCGGAUGGAAGACUUUUCUCUGUGUCUGCCUCUGCCUCUCUGUAACUCUGCCUUUCAAAUAAAUAAAUCUUUUUUUUUUUUCUUAAACAGAAGAGUUACAAUGGGGUGGGGGAGAGAGGGAGGGAGAGAGGAGAGAGAUCUUCCAUCCACUGGUUUACUCCCCAAAUGGCCACAAUGGCCAGGGUUGGGCCAGGCUGAAGCCAGGAGUCUGGAACUAUCUGGGGCUCCCUCAUGGGUGUCAGAGGCUCAUGGACUUGGUCCAUCUUCCCCGUUUCCCCCGCUGCAUUAGCAUGGAGCUGCAUUGGAAGCAGAGCAGCCGGGACUCACGCUAGCACCCUGAUAGUAAUCCAUGCACCACAACAUAGCAUCUGUGUUUUGCUUUUGUGAAAUGGCUUUUGGUCUGAAGGCAGGCUCUGGGCUGUGCCAGAGAGAAACUUGCAGGGCAGGUGACUGCUGCAGCACUUGCUGGCGGUGGUGGUGGCAUCUAAAGGACAGAGCCAGAGAGGAGUCCUGCAUUCCAUGUGUAAGCCCUGUCCCAAGUUGUGACAGAUUGUGGGAUUGUUUAUGCAUUAGAAACCCCAAGGUCCUUAGCUAAAGCUCACAGGACUGAAUUGAAAUCUCAGAGCUCGGGGAACUUAGCCAAGGUAACUGACUUUGAAAAGAAAUACAUCAGUAUUUUCAACAGAACUUAAGAGAACCCAGAGUCUUUACCACGUGUCACCUGUCAUAACCAGGGUCACAUCCAAGAUUAGUUGGCAUAGGAGAUACAGGAGAAUGUGACCCAUACCCAGAAUAGACCACUGAUGGAGGCCCAUCCUGGGAUGACCUUCAAGUUGGAAUUUAGGGUGUAAGAUUUUUAAAAAAUAUUUACUUAUUUAUUUGAAAGAUAGAUUUACAGAGAGGCAGAAACAGAGAGAGAGAGAGAGAGAGAGAGAGGGAAGGGGAGAGAGAGAGAGAGAGAGAGAGAGAGAGAGAGGUUUUUAAUCCAUUGGCUUACUCCCCAAAUAGCCACAACAGCCAGAGCUGCACUAAUCCAAAGCCAGGAGCUUCCUCCGGGUCUCCCACGUGGGUGCAGGGGCCCAAGGACUUGGGCCAUCUUCUACUGCUUCCCCAGGCCACAUCAGAGAGCUGGAUCAGAUGAGGAGCAGCUGAGACUUGAACUGGUGCCCAUAGGGGAUGCUGGCACUGCAGGUGGUGGCUUUACCUGCUACGCCACAGUACUGGCCAUGUGAUAAGAUUUUUUAAAAAUUGUAUUUUUACUUAAAUGAAAGAGAGAGAGAGAGAGAGAGAGAGAGAGAGAGAGAGAGAGAGAAUCUUCCAUUGUUUCACUUCCCAAAUGCCUGCAACAACCAGGACUGGGCCAGGCUGAAUCCAGGAGCCAGAACUCCACCAGGUCUCCCACGUGGGUGGCAGGGACUCAAGCACUGAUGCCAUCACCCGCUACUUCUCAGGUUGCACGUUAGCAGGAAGCUGGAACUGGAAGCAGAGCUGGAACUGAAAACCAGGCGCUCCCGUGUGAGCUGCAGGUGGCCCAAGCAGCCUCUUAGCCGCUGCGCCCAUGUCUGCCUGAGAAGGUUUUGAAAUCAGCCAUUGUAUUUAGGGUCAAGGAUGUAGAAGUGGUGCUGAGGAGCACAAGGAUUUGAUCCUUGACCCUACCUCCUGACCCUGCAGCUCGCUGGAGGUGGCAGAAUGAGCAGGCCUCUUCGGAGAGGAUGUUAGGGAAAGCCAUGCUCCUGUGAGAACAAUUUUAAGCAAUGUUGGGAAAUGGAGAGCAAGUUUGCACAAGCAGUGGAUCUAUUAAACAAAUAUUAAGGGAUCAUCUGCCCGUGCCAAGCGCUAUCUAUCUGCUGGGGAUAUAGUCCUCAACAAAGCGGUCCAAACUCCGAUCCCUCUGAACAGUGUCCAGGAAUUUAGAUGAAAGAGUAUUCUGCAAGAACAUACUUUGGGAAGCAGGCACAGAAACAGAGGGCCUUGCUGGUUCACUCUUAAGGCUCAUCAUGACAGCAUGGGCUUUCUGCAGUAUCUCCUUCAAGAAUUUCCAGGGCCAGCUGUGUAGCAUAGUGAGCUAAGCAGAUACCAUGACACCAGCAUCUCCUAUGGGCGCAAGUUCGUGCUCUGGAUGCACCACUUCCAAUCCAGCCCCCUGCUGAUGGCCUGAGAAAAGCAGGGGAGGACGGCCCAGCCGUUUGGGCCACUGCCACCCACGUGAGAGAUCUGAAUGAAGCUCCUGGCUUUGACCUGGCCAUUGGGGCCAUCUGGGGAAUGAACGAGGGGCUGGGAAAUCUCCCUCUCUCUCUGUCCCUCUCUUUCUGUGACUCUGAUUUUCAAAUAAAUCUUUUUUAAAAAAAUUUUUGGCCAGUGCUGCGGCUUACUAGGCCAAUCCUCCGCCUGUGGCGCCGGCACACCGGGUUCUAGUCCUGGUCGGGGUGCCGGAUUCUGUCCCGGUUGCUCCUCUUCCAGUCCAGCUCUCUGCUGUGGCCCGGGAGAGCAGUGGAGGAUGGCCCAAGUCCUUGGGCCCUGCACCUACUUGGGAGACCAGGAGAAGUACCUGGCUCCUGGCUUCGGAUCAGUGUGGUACACUGGCCGCAGCGCGCCGGUUGCAGCAGCCAUUAGAGAGGGUGAACCAAUGGUAAAGGAAGACCUUUCUCUCUCUCUCUCUCUCUCUCUCUCACUGUCCACUCUGCCUGUCUAAAAAAAAAAAAAAAAAGAAAAAAGAAAAGAAAAGAAAAGAAAAAAAGAAAUUUUCAGGCUCUACCUCUUAUCCAGUCCCAAAGCCACUUCUACAUUUUAGGUAUCUGUUAUUACAACACCCCACUCCCAGGCCACCCUGGUACCAACCCACAACUGCCAGGGCUGGGCCAGGCUAAAGUCAGGGUCCUGGAACUCAAUUAAGGUUUCCAUGGUAGAUGGCAGGGACCCCAGUAUUGAGCCAUCACCUGUUGCCUCCCAGGGUGCACAUUAGUAGGAAGCUGGAUUGGAAGUUGAGACAGGACAUGAACCCAGGCGCUCCUCUAUGGGAUAUGAGUGUCGGGAUAUGACAGAAGGCACCCGCAGAAGGCACCCAGUUAGGAGAAACACACUUGGGUAUUUGGUGGGAAAAAUCUAAGCAGCAAAAUGUUUGGGGUGCUGUAUGCUUUUCCUAACUUAAUGGUAAAAAAAAAAAAAAAAAAAAAAAAAAAAAAAAAAAAAAAGAGGAACCAGGUAAAGAUGGAAUUCAUAAUCAAAAGGGAAGUGGAACAUUAACAUUUGGAAGACUCUCCAUCUUGGAGAGAACACCAGGGGUGUGGCCAAGCAGCCAUUUGCUAGAGAUUAGUGGGGCUGGAAAGAACUCAGGUGUUGUUCGACAAGACGGGGGGUGCGGGGUGACCCCAGGGGCAUUGCAGAGAACUUCAAGGCUGCCAGGCCUGUCACAGGCCCAGGGCACCAGGCCCUGAAAGAGAAGGAUUUCCAGUGAGGGGAGCAGGGCGCUUGUGGGAUCUUGGCUCUUACUGCUCAGGGCCACCCCGUGUCUCUCCAGGGCACUCUCUCAGGUGGGGCUGCACGUGGCUUGGGCUGCUGUUGUGGAGGGUGCACGCGGUGAGCCACGGCAGCCUCCUUGCUGUCCUGGUCCUGCAGCUGUGCAGGGUGCAUGACCAUGGAGGUGCGGCUGCCUCCCCCUAGGGGUCAAAGGAUGCUUCUGGAAACCACAGGGCCCAGGUAGAGACCAGUCUCGGGGGUGGGGACUCCCAACCACGUCACCGUUUUACACUCGCCCCAUCGGCAAACUCUAAACAUGUGAUUAGCAGCGGGCAGAGAGGGCAUGAGGCAGUGGAGACUGACAAUGCCGUGAUCUUGUUGGGACAGUCUGGCUUUGCUCUGCAAACCUGACUCAGGUGGUCCUGUCUAAAUCCGUGAGCCCCAAAGACACUCUUGAAGAAAGGUGCGAAAGAACCCGAGGUGUCCAUUGACGGUAGAAUGCAUCAGUAGACAGUGGUGUUUUCAUAACGUGAAUCCACUCACAUGACAGUCAUCCAUGAAUGAAACAAAUACGGCCACACAUGUCUUUUUUUUUUUUUUUUUUAAUAUGUGACAAGUAGAGUUAUAGACAGAGAAAGAGACAGAGAGAAAGGUCUUCCUUCCGUUGGUUCACCCCCCAAGUGGCCUCUACGGCUGGCGUGCUGCACCAAUCUGAAGCCAGGAGCCAGGUGCUUCCUCCUGGUCUCCCAUGCAGGUACAGGGCCCAAGCACUUGGGCCAUCCUCCACUGCACUCCUGGGCCACAGCAGAGAGCUGGACUGGAAGAAGAGCAACCGGGACAGAAUCCAGCACCCCAACCGGGACUAGAACCCGGGGUGCCAGCACCGCAGGUGGAGGAUUAGCCUAGUGAGCCGCAGCACCAGCUAGCACAGUACUUCUUUUAAAAAAUGUAUAUUUGAGAGACAAAAGGAAAGAGGGAGAGAGAGUAAGUCCUUUUGCUGGUUCACUCCUCAAAUGCCCUCAAAGGUGAGGGCUGGGCCAGGGCCAAAGCCAGGAGCCAGAAGCUCAGUUCAGGUCUCCCGGGGGGUGGUAGGAACUACUUGAGCCUUUACCACUACCUUCCAGGAUCUGCAUUAGCAGGAAACUGGAGUCAGGAGCUGGAGUCGAGUAUCAAACGCAGGUUCUAUGACAUGGGACACGGGCAUCUUAACCACGUCCCACUGCUGGGCUCAACACCCACCUCAGAACCUAUCCUAUGUAAUGAUGCUUGUUGCAAGCGCCACUCACCACGCAGCUCAAGAAGGCUAAUGCGACGUGUCGGAGCACGGGGAAGAAUCACACAGAAUCAAUAUAAUUUCAAUAUCAUUCAUUAUUCAAUAUUCAAUACCACUCAAUAUAUAUAUUCAAUGCACACAUCUAAAGGUCAAUGCCACUCAAUAUGUUAUUAGUCCACAUAACACACAUCCAGGAAUAAGACAACUUCUAGGAUAUAUCCAGCAAUAGUAAUAAGUGUAACACAUACACAGCAUAAAAGCAUAACCAAUCUAAACACUCAUGGCAAAGGGUGUAAUAUGAAUGCUGCGUUCUCAAGGUUCCUAUCAUGGUCACGAAAAGUCAAAGUCCAAAGUCCAGAGUCCAGAGUCUCUGUUAGCACUCGGAGAGACGGAUUUCAGAACAGUCACUUAUGGACAGCAGUCGUGGGAUGACUGGCACUCUGGGCAGCAGGCUCGACGGUGAAGAGUUGGAGAAGUCACCGAUGAGAAGUCCGGUCCAGAUCUGAUGUCAGCUCCAGCAGUGGCUGGGAUGUCCAGGCGAGGUGGGCUCCAGCGAGUGGCGAGCAGAGCUUCAGUCAGUGACGACGCGGGCAGAGUUUCACUUGCACUGAGCCGUGGUCCCCCAGGGGAUGAGAGCUGGUGUGAGGCUUGUUAUCCUUGCUCUGGGGUAGGUGGGCAGUGAAGGGGCCCUGGGGUGUCACCAACCACAGACUCAUCUUUUUGGGUGUCACCAACCAGAUGUUGGUGUCUGGGUGUGGCUGAUGGUGUGUUGGGGGUCUCCUGGGUGUGACCGAUCAUGGUGCAGUAGUGUGGGUGAGGUAAUGCAGUAGCCGGCUGGUUGGCUUCUUCUUAGGAUGUAAUGUCCCCCAGUCCUCAUCAGGCCUCACCGCCUGUGUCUGUUCUGACAGAUGCUGGUGCUUAGUGGCCUUAGCUUAAGUAACUCCAUUUUCGUUUUGCUUUUUCGCUUUCUUUUCGGGUUAGUGGCACUCCGUAACUCUUUUGGGACGCCUGUGGGAUUCUGCACAGCACUUUGGUACUCAUUAUCCAAAUCUCUUCUUUGCCCCCUUCCCCCAUCCUCCCCAGCUUCUAGGUAUUCCUGUUUUCAGUCCAGGUAGACAUUUAAAAACGCUCAUGUAUGAGAGAGGAUAUGUGGUAUCUGUCUUAUUUCACUUAACAUAGUGAUCUCAAGUUCCAUCCAUGUUGCUGCAAAUGUCAGGAUUUCAUUCUUUUUUAUGGCUCAGUAAUAUUCCACUGUGCUUGUAUACCACAUCUUUUUUAUCCGUUCACCCGUUGGUGGACAAUUAGGUUGAUUCCAUGUCCUGAGUACCGAGAACAGUGCUGUCAUGGACAUGGAGUGUAGGUGUUUCUUUGACAGCCUGACUUCAUGUCCUUUGGGUACCUACCCAGAAGUAGGGUAGCUGGGUCAUAUGGUAGAUCUAGUUUUAGUUUUCUGUUCUCCACAAUGGCUCUACCAAUUUGCACCCCUACCGCCUGUGUAUAAGCGCUCCCUUUCCUCUACAUUCUCACUGGCAUUUGUUAGUUUUCUCUUUUUGAUAAUAGUUGUUCCAGCUGGACUGAGAUAUCGCAUCAUGGUUUUGAUCUGUAUUUCCCUGAUAGCUAGUGAUACUGAAAAUUUCUUCAUGUACUGUUUGGCUUUUUGUGUUCUUCAGUUCCUCCAUCUAUUUCUUUUCUUUUCUUUUUUCUUUUCUUUUCUUUUCUUUUCUUUUCUUUUCUUUUCUUUUCUUUUCUUUUUUUUGACAGGCAGAGUGGACAGUGAGAGAGAGAGGGACAGAGAGAAAGGUCUUCCUUUUGCCGUUGGUUCACCCUCCAAUGGCCGCUGUGGCCGGCACGCUGUGGCCAGCGCACCGCGCUGAUCCGAAGCCAGGAGCCAGGUACUUCUGGUCUCCCAUGGGGUGCAGGGCCCUUGGGCCAUCCUCCACUGCACUCCCGGGCCACAGCAGAGAGCUGGCCUGGAAGAGGGGCAACCGGGACAGAAUCCGGCGCCCCGACCGGGACUAGAACCUGGUGUGCCAGCGCCGCAAGGCGGAGGAUUAGCCUAGUGAGCCGCGGCGCCGGCCGCUCCAUCUAUUUCUUAACUGGAGUGUUUUUCUUGUUGUUGAGGGUUUUUUUAGUUCUUUAUAAAUUCUGUGUAUUAAUCCUUUGUCAGAUGAAUAGUUUAAAAUAUUUUCACCCAUUUCUGUUGGUCCUCUCUUCAUCAGGGCAACAGACAGAGCGGGAGUGAGAGAAUCUUCCAUCCACUGGUUCACUCUCCAGAGGGAUGCAGCAGCCAGGUCUGGGGAAGACCAGGAACCCCACCCUGGUCUCCCACGUGGGGGUCGGGGCUCUAAGCACUGUGCCAUCUUCAACUGCUUCCCGGGAGCAUCUUCAGGAAGCUGGACUGCGAGCAGGGCAGCCAGGACUCAGUCUGCAGUCCACUGUGUGGUGCCAGCAUCGCAAGUGAUGUUUGACCUGCUAGGCCACAGUAUUGGCCCCAGAAAAUACAACUCCUGAUGCUGAGGAGAAUACUUCUGAAAUAACCCAGUCAGACAGAAACAAAGAAAAAAAUUCAAAAGAACAAAGAAAACCUGCAAACCACAUGAGAUACCGCUAUGCUAACAAAUACUUGCGUUGUGGGUCUAGCUGAAGGAGCGCUGAGGAAAAAGGCAUUGAGAACCAAAAUAAGUUAAAUAAUUAAAUAACUGAAAAUUUCCAAGUAUUGAAAGAGGUAUAGAAAUUCACAUUCAGGAAACUCAAAAGACCCCCAACCAUAAUCAAUCAAAAAUACCCCCUUCAAGGCAUAUUUACUCCAAAAGUCUCAGGUACAGACAAGGAGAGAAUCCUGAAAACAGAAAAGCAUCAAGUUACACAUAAAGAAAGCUCAUUAGGCUAACAGACUUCUCAGUGGAAAUUUUACAGAUCGGAAGAGAAUAAGAUGAUACAGUCAAGGUCUUUUUAAGUGAGAGAGAGAGAAAGAACUUCCAUCUGCUGGUUCCCUCCCUAAAUGUCAGCAAAAGCCAGGGCUGUCCAGGCCAGAGCCAGGACCCCAGAACUCUGUCUGGGUCUCCCAAGAGGGUGGUAGGAACUCAAGUAUUUUGGCCAUCUUUUGCUGUCUUCCCAGGAACAUUAGCAGGAAGCUGGACUACAAGUGUAGCAGUCGGGACUUGAACUCCAAUAUGGGAUGCUGGCAUUACAAGUAGUGUCUUAACCUUUUACACCAUAAUGCUGGCCCCUAUUCAAGGUCUUGAAAGAAAAAAGUACCAACCAACAAUACUAUAUCCAGAGAAACUAUCCUUUAGAAAUGAAAGCGAAAUAAAAUCUUUACCAGAGAAGCAAAAACUGAUGGAAUUCACCACCAGACCAGCCCUACAAAGGGCUAGCACUGUGGUGUAGUAGGCUAAGCUUGUAACACUGGCAUCCCAUAUGGGUGCUGGUUCGAGUCCCAGCUGCUCCACUUCUAAUCCAGCUCCCUGAUAUGGCCUGGGAAAGCAGUAGAAGAUGGUCCAAGUCCUUGGUCUCUGCACCCUACACCCUGCCCUGGGUCUUGCUUAAUCCAUUCAGCCAGUCUCUACCUUUUGACUUGGGAAUGUAAUCCAUUUACAUUCAAGAAUCAUAUUGACAGAUAAGAACUAGCUCUUUCAUUUUGUUGUCUCUUACUGUUUUAUAUAUUCUUUGUUUCAUUCUGACUCUCUUUUAUCUUUGUGUUUUUUAUUACUUUUAUGUGGGAGACCUGGAAGAAACUCCUGGCUUCGGAUCGCUCAGCUCCGGCCGUUGUGGCCAUCUGGGAAGUGAACCAGAGGAUGGAAGACCCCCUCCCCCUCCCCCUCCCCCUCCCUCUCCCUUCCCCUCCCUCUCCCUCCCCCUCUCCCUCUCUCUCUGCUUCUGCCUCUCUGUCAUUCUGCCUUUCAAAUAAAUAAAUAAAUCUUUUUUAAAAAAUUAGAGCAGAAAUAGAAAUGAAAAAGUAACAAAAGCUUAACAAAAUGAAAAGUGUUAUUUUUUAAAAAGAUAAACAAAAUAGACAAACUUUUAGCAAUAGUAACAAAAAAGAAAUCUUAAAUAAAAAAAUUAGAAAUGCAAAAGAAGAAAUUAAGGCUGAGAUCACAAAAUGCAAAGGAGCAGAAGAGACUACUAUAAACAACCAUGUGUUAAUGAAUCAAAAAACGGAAGAAAAGGAUGAAUUCCUGGACACAUACGACUUUCCAAGAUUAAAUCGAGGAUAUGUAGAAAAUCUAAGCAGGCCAAGAACAAGUGAUGAGGUUGAAGCAAUGAUUAAAAGCCUCCCAUCAAAGGAAAGUCCAGGACCUGGCUGUUGGGGAGAACCACACUUGCCAAGGCAGAGGAGUCUGCGUGUGACCAAGAGCAUCGCCCGUGCUGGGUCCCUCAGGCCAGAGGGAGAGUUUUAAUAGUUGCCUCCUGAUGAGCAAAGUCUUCCCAAGAAGUGGCAAUCCCAAGGGCUGCUCCUUUGCCUGCUGAUACCAGCCCAUUGAUAUCUGAUGCACAGAGACGCCAUCAUUCACCCCUGUGAAUGUGAUAGUUGUCAACGCCCUGGUGAGAAGUUCCAAGAGAGGCUUGGGUGGACUGCGGACCACUGAGCUCAGACGGGGAGUGUCUGAAGAUUGUGCAGUAUUCGGGGGGCACUGAAUCUUAAGGGCAUGGAGGUAUUACCAAGUCUCAUCGUCAGCUUUACCUUAAACCUGCAGUGAGAAGGCAUGCCCUGUAUGUGGUGGAAUGAGAAGGUGAAAAGGUCAUGCCAAGAUGGCCGCUGACAACAGAAACUGCCUGGCAACAGGCCAUUAUUGGAUGGCUUCAGAAACCACAUGACAACAGGGCCUGACUGGCAACAGGCUGUGAUUGGAUGGCUUUGGAAACUGCCUGGCAACAGGCUGUGAUUGGUUAGGGCAUAGACCACCCCUUGACUGGAUUGGCUGCCUUGGCUAUAUAAGCAGCUGUAGCAACUGAAAUAAACGAGUCUGUGGGCUGCUCGCCUCUGGGCCGCUUUCACCUGACUCCCAGGGUCUGGGUGGUGACUCCGUGCCUCUUGCCCCCACCACGCUCCUCCUCUCAGAACGAAUCCUCACAAAGAAAUCAACUUCAACAUCAGACCUUCCCUGAUUCCCGGCAGCCAUGGGCUGUGGUCGGUCUCCAUAUGCCAGGUGUUGGUGGAAAAACCCAGGGAGAAAGUCACCCCCUGGUAAAACAUGACUGAUUUCUCUGAUCCCCGGUGCCCCAGUGAGUGUAGUUUGGGGUGCAGUGGGAAGGACUUGACAGAAGUGUGGUGUCUGAGAAACUUUCGUGGCGCUUGCACUGUGUGGCCUCAUUGUGAGUUCCUUGCUUGGAGGGAGGACAUGGGGUGCAAGAAGAGGUGCUGCACUUAAGAAGCAGAAAUGGGGGCUGGCGCUGUGGUGCACCUGCAGUGCCGGCACACCCAUAUAGGUCCUGAUUUGAGUCCUAGCUGCUCCACUUCCAGACUGGCUCCCUUCUGGUGUGUCUGGGGGAGCAGUGGAGGAUGGCCCAAGUACUCGGGCCCUUGCAAACAAAUAGGGGAUCUGGGGGAAGAUCCUGGCUCCUGGCUUCAGACUGGCCCAGCCCUGGCCAUUGUCGCCAUUUGGUGAGCAAACCAGUGGAUGGAAGAUCUCACUGCCUCUCCCUUUCUCUGUAGCUCUGCCUUUCAAAUAAAAUAAAUAAAUCUUUAAAAAAAAAAAAAAAGAAAUAAGGUUUUGGAGGAAGGCAGAUUUCCCAGGGGUUGGGACCUAUUGGGUGGAUGAGGAUCAUGGCCUGGUUCCUCACUCUUAGGUCCUGCACAAAUCUAUUUGCCCCAUCUGACUUCUCUACAGGUAGAAUGAGUGAGGUACAAGAGGAUUGAUACGGCCUUAGAAGCCUGGACUUGAGAACUUUGAGGUUAUGGGUUUCAGUCCCCAUUUGGCCUUGAGUCAAACAUUAAUCCCUUAGCCAUCGACUGAAGACUCUGGGGUUUAAAUGUCUGCGUGAAUUUUGGGAGCAAAAGCCUGUUGAGACCAUACCAUUUGGUCAUAUUUAUCAGGUUUAUUCCUUAUUGUCCAUCUUCCUCUCUAGACUAUAAACUUCAGGGUUUUUUUUUUUUUUUUAAUCUGUAGAUGGAUUCCCAAGUACCUGAAAAGUGCGCUGGUACAUGUUGGGGUGUUGAGGUUGAUUUCUUCUGAGAGGAUUUGUUCUGAGUGAAGGAGCAUGAUGGGAGCAAGAGGCUCGGAGUCACCACACAGACCCCGGGAGUCGCGUGAAAGCAGGCCUGAGGCAAGCAGCCCACAGACUUGUUUAUUUCAGUUGCUACAGCUGCUUAUAUAACCAAAGCCCAGCCAAUACGGUCAAGGUGCGGUCUAUGCCCUAACCAAUUACAGCCUGUUGCCAGGCAGUUUCCAAAGCCAUCCAAUCACGGCCUGCCAUCAGUCAGGCUCUGUGGUCAUGUGGUUUCCUCUGUUGUCAUGUGGUUUCCAAAGCCAUCCAAUCAUGGCCUGUUGCCAGGCAGUUUCUGUUGUCAGCGGCCAUAUUGGCAUGACCUUUUCACCUCCUCAUUCCACCACAUUGGGGUAUUCGAUAAACUUGUUAGAGUAAAUGAAUAUGAGAGGAGUCUUCCAUCAGCUGGGCACAUUGGUGGCAUUUGGAAAUGGAAUAAUGGUAGCUAUGAGCAAUUUAAAUAUUCUUCAAGUUGGAGUAGGGAGAAUAUGGAAUUGGUUGUGAUGGUGAGAGCACCUAGGGAGGCAGGUUUAGGACAAAUGAUGAGGUCAAGGGCAUGGUAGGGGCAGCCAGAGGGUCGAGCGGGGUAGCACACAGUGUGGCCAAAGAGUGGUAGCCAGCGUGGUUGGUCUGAUGGGAAGGAAAUGAGUAACAGGGAAGUCAAAAGGUUAUAGCUCAAGGUUGGCGGUGCCCCACAGUGGUGCUGUACCAUGGAGCACUGGUUUCAUGGCUGCAGGAUGGUCAAAGAGAAGCAGAAAUCCUGUUGAGUGCCUCAGAAAUUGUACAGGACAAGUUGCUACACACACACUGUGUUGUGAGCUGAGAAUGGAGCAAAUUGCUGGACUUUAUCAGUACCCCAUGGGCCUUGAGAGAUUCCAAACUGACCAGUCCGUCCCUGGCCUUGACAGUUCUAUGGCUUGCAACAUUUUUAACCACCACGAUUAGUGUCAGGUUCCAGCACCAGGUUCUGCACCCACCCUUGCUGGUUUCUCAGGAAUCCUGGGCCGUCCUCCCAUCGUUCCCUUUUCUCAUAGUCAGAGUCCCAAUGAUCCUUUCCCUCGGUGAAAUGCAGGUUGGGUUUCUAACAGGACAGAAAUUUAUUUAAUUUUCUUGAAAGUCAGAAUUACAGAGGAAGAGAGAGAGAGAGGUGUCUUUCAUUGCUGGUUCACUCCCCAAAUGGCUGCACUGGCUGGAGCUGGGCCCAUCUGAAGCCAGGAGCUUCCUCUGGGUCUCCCACAUGGGUGCAAGGGCCCAAGGACUUGGGCCAUCUUCCAUUGCUUUCGCAGGCCAUAGCAGAGUGCUGGAUUGAAAGUAGAGCAGCUGGGACUUGAACCAGCACCUAUAUGGGAUGCUGGCACUGCAGGCAGUGGCUUUACCCUGCUCUGCUACAGCACCAGCCCCAAAACUCCUACUUUAUGUUCACUUCUUUUGUGAUCUUAGCUCACCAUCCUGGUGAUGAUCAUGGAUUCUGGAGGGAAACCCAGUGGUGUCCCUCUAGCCCGUGGGACUUGGGAUGGUGUCAGAUACCAGGAACCCCCUUUUCCUGUAUGAAGCCCCAAUGGCUCAGGGACUUCCACAGGUGAGCCUUCUGAGCCCCGGUCCACCCACUUUGGGUUGAGGCCCAUUUUCUGCAGGUGUCUCCCUCUGGGAAGGAAGGAAUUCCUUCAUCAAGGGUGAGGUGGGUCUUCUGGCCAUCUUCAGGGGCGGUUCCCCCAGGUAAGGUUUGUUUUUCCAGCUGAAGCCAUUUGUUUUCUUGGUGAGAGCUUGGCAAAGAUAAAUGUCAUUUUCCUGUAUCCUAGGGAGUGUGCUAGGCAGAAUGCAGCUUAAACCCACCUAGGGGAGCUGUGCCUGCCAUUGCUAGGCAGAUUCCCACACUUAUUUUCAUUUGUUUCAUAGAAUUGAGCUCUCUGUGACAUCCUGUGGACAUUUCCGAAAUUGCAACUGGAAAUUUUGCGUUGCUUGUGUUGAGGAACAAACAAACAAAAUGAUGAAGGCAUUGGAAGACAGAGGCCCCCGCUCCUCUGACACCCCCAGGAAAGGGUUCCUAGGAGACCAGAAACCUCACAGAUGUGGGAAUUCACAAUCUCUAACACACAGUGGCCACAAAGGGAUCUCCAGAUAAGCGCAUCGGUCUUGUAGGUCAGAAGGAACAGUCCUGGCCCAACAGUUGGUGCCCAUGGGAGCCUGGCCAUCCCAGUGCCUCGGCUCCCACACACCAUGCAGAGGGUGACUAUCAACCCAGCUGGUGACACUCCUGGGAGAGGGGCGCCUGCAGCAGCGCCUGUCACAAGGGACUCACCACUUGGGGUGACUGAAGUGUGCGUGGCCGACUUGGGGAUCUUUUGAUAUCCUCAAGAUAGUCUGUGCACGGGCUUGGAAAAACCAACGAAAACAAAACACCUGUCCCAAACUCUAAACAUUCCUUGCUCAGGGGUACAGGGUUUUCUUUGCUAUCAAGAGAUUGAUAAGAGCCGGCGCCACGGCUCACUAGGCUAAUCCUCCACCUUGCGGCGCCAGUACACCGGGUUCUAGUCCCAGUCGGGGCGCCGGAUUCUGUCCCGGUUGCCCUUCUUCCAGGCCAGCUCUCUGCUGUGGCCCGGGAGUGCAGUGGAGGAUGGCCCAAGUGCUUGGGCCCUGCACCCCAUGGGAGACCAGGAGAAGUACCUGGCUCCUGCCAUCGGAUCAGCGCGGUGCGCCGGCCACAGGGUGCCGGCCGCGGCAACCAUUGGAGGGUGAAGCAACGGCAAAGGAAGACCUCUCACUGUCCACUCUGCCUGUCAAAAAAAAAAUGAGAUUGAUAAGAAACACAGUGGGAUACCCACAUGUUAAAGGAUGCACAGGUCUGCGUCUGGGAGCUCCAGCUGGAUGUGCCCUGCUCUCACACACAUUGGGUUUUUUAAGUCAAAGAGAAUUUUUAAGCUACAAUUAUAAGGUUAGCAUGAAAGGGCUUUUUAGUGUCUCCUCUCUCUCUCUCUGCCAAUUUUGAAUCUGCUGACUUACAUUAAGAUAAUUUUGUUACUUGAGGAUGUGUGGAAGUUUGCUAUUUCUGUCA
This is a non-coding RNA of Oryctolagus cuniculus (rabbit), 19926 nucleotides long. Lineage: Eukaryota; Metazoa; Chordata; Mammalia; Lagomorpha; Leporidae. The record is from RefSeq and is a predicted model, not a curated record.